Molecule: long non-coding RNA, 5419 nt
Organism: Lutra lutra (Eurasian river otter)
Lineage: Eukaryota; Metazoa; Chordata; Mammalia; Carnivora; Mustelidae
Exons: 3
Source: RefSeq, a predicted model, not a curated record
CUGAGCUGAAACCAAGAGUUGGAUGCUCAACCGACUGAGCCUCCGAGGCACCCCAGUCUUGCUUAUUUUGAGGAUGUGAGGGUAUAGAUAACCUAGUAGGGUACUUGAUGAGGAUAUAGGUCAAGGAAUGUUGCUGUCUCUCUUCCUCAUGCUCCUCUGUCUCUCCAGAAAGCAAUCUGCUGGCCAGCCUGCCUCCCGAGUGCGGUCCUCACCAUCGGUGGUGACAGCCGCUGCUGUUAGCUGUGAACUGUGAACUGUGAACCCCAGCGCUGGGCUGUUGGGCCAAAGGGAGUGCCUGAUGGGCAUCUGUCAUCUGCAGAAGGCUUCUGGAGGCUGGCUUCCUCACCGUGGCCACGAGUCUUCAUUUCACAACCUUUCUCAAGUGAUGCAUUUCAGGGCACGCUUUCAAAAUUAUUCCAUCAGAAGAUUUCUGGGUCCACAGAUGACUGUAGAUCUGGACAUCUCUUCCCCUAGGUAUGUUGCCUUUCAUAUCAUUGACAUGUUCCUUUUCUCGCCCCUGUUAGCACUCUCAUCUCAGUUCUAGGGCAGAGCAGGUCUUUGUCAAGGGGAAGAGGGAUGAGUAUUGAUUCCCAGCACUGGUAGCCUUGCCUGGCCAUGCCCAUUCCUACCUCGUGUAACAAGUCCUCCUUUUUCUUUGUGGCUCUGUGCUCUUCUUCAAAGUGUGCUCCUGAGGCCUUCCUAUCUUUGAGCUCAUGGAGGGGUGAGGUCUUUCUCUGGGUCUGCGUCCGAACCCAUGGUCCAGCCUGGUCUUGACCAGCAGCCAGUCUGUGACCAGAGAGGGUGAAGGGGGACCCCUGUUCAGGGAUCCUGGAACCACACCCUAGCAACCGUUGUCUUGAGACUGUCUGGCCUCAAGGAGCUGUCUAGCAAGUAGGGGAAAGAUCAGAGAUAAAUAACUGGUACCCUGUGAUGACUGCUGCCAUGAAAGUGGGCACGAAGCCAGAGCUGGCACAAAGGAGGAAGGAGUCUGUAUCUCUCAGCAGAAGCCAGCACGGGCUCUAGAAGAGGUGACAUUUAGAUUAAGUUCCCAUGCACCAGCCUGGUGGGGAGGGACAGUCCAGGCAUAGUGAAUCCCUAGAAACACUUCUUGGGUUCUCCAAAGAUCCUCUCCUCAACAGUCUCUCCUCCUACAACCUUAGAGAUACCUUGAUUAAUGGUGGUUUCCUCGGCGUCCCUGGUAGAACCAGGGGGAAGGACAAAGCGUGGCACUCAAUAUGGAAACAGCUAGCAUCAAGGUCCCAAAAAUUCUCACUCAAGGUAGCCAUUUACAAAUCUCUUCCGGGUUGCUGUCUGACGGUGCUGUUCAUCCUUCCAAGCUGGAUCUGUUCAUAACAGUGGAAAUACAAAAAAAUAGAAAAUAUCUGAUUUCAAUACAGUGCAUUGAGUGUUGACCCUAUAGUAGUUAGGAAGGCCGACUGUGUCACUUACUAGUUCUGCGACCUUGAGCAAUGACUUCACCCUUUCUGCCUCAGUGUUCUCAUCUGUAAAAUAGGGGCAAUGUUGGAAGCAACCUCACAAAGUUGCUAGGAGGAGUAGUGGGUGUGUCUUAAUAAAAAAUGUAUAUUUGUUCUUUGUCCCAGUUCUUGACACAGAACUCCUAAAUCCCUUGGGAUUUCCUAGGUUAUAGGAGGAUUUUUUUGUUCUGUGGUGACUCUUAGUGGACCUCUAGAUAGCUUCAGGAUGUGGUCUGGUCACCAGAAAGAUCAAGCCUUAUUUAGAAACCUAACACUUUCUGCCCAACUCUCUGACUCUUGGAGAGAGAGGCUGGAGGUUGAGUGAAUGAGCAAUGGCCAGUGACUUAAUCAAUUAUACCUACAGAAUGAAACCACUGUAAGAACCCCUAAAUUGGGGGUUUGGAGAGCUUCUGGGUUGCUGGGAGGUUGGCACAGAAACUCUGUGCCCUUUCCCCCACAUCCAUCCCUCCCAGGGGCUCCUCCAUUCGGUUGGUCCUGAGCUGUAUCCUUUAUAAUAAACUGACAACAAGUACUUUCCUGAGUCCUGUGGGUUGUUCAAGCAAAUGAUCAAACUUGCGGAUAGGGCUGUGAUCUGAGUCUACAGCUGGCCAGUGACAACAUGGGAUUUGCAACUGGCAUUUGAAGUGGGGGAGUCUUAGGGGACUGAGCCCUUCACCUGUGGGAUUUGAUGCUAUCAGGUGGUUAGAUAGGGUCAGGAGAGAUUGAAUUGGAGGACAUCCAGGUGGAACCUGGGGAACUGGAGGACUUGGUUUUGGUGUGGAAAAAACCUAGAAGUGUUGUGAGUAGAAACAGCACAGAGUGGGUUUAUUUGGCAAACAGAAUAAUGUCCCUGCAUGGUGUGGAUACUCUCAAACCGAGAGCCUGUGAGUCUGUCACUUUUCCUGGCAAAAGAGACUUUGCAGCUGUGAUUAAGCAUCUCGGGAUAGGAAGAUCCUCAAGCGUACCCAAGUGGGCCCCAUGUAAUCACAAGGGUUAUAUACAAGUCGGAGGCAGAAGAGCCAGGGGACGGAGAAAGGGCCACAGUCAAGGAAUGCAGGAAGCUUCUAGAAGCAAGGAGCAGAUUCACUCGUUGAGCCUCCAACAGGAUCACGACCCAGCUGCCACCUCGAUUUUCACCCCGUGAGACAAAUUUGGAACUUCUGACCACCAGAACUGUAAGGUAAUAAAUUUGUGUUGUUUUAAGCCACUAAGUUUGUAGUGAUUUGUUACAGCAGGAUUGGAAAGCUCAAUCGAUGCUUGUAAAGUGCUCAGAACAGAGCCUGGCAGUUGGGGAAUGCUCCCUAAGGUUGCCUAUUAUUGUCGUGAUUUCUUGCCACCAAGUUCUAGGUUAGACUCAGCGUUGCUCUCGUGUUGAAGGGAAACAACAAUGACCUCACCCACCAUCAGCAGCAAGUUCCUGACAUCCUGAAGUUUACACUCAGGAGGAGGGGACAGAUUACAAACAAAGAAGUAAAUAAAUGUUAGUGAGGAGGAAGAAAGCAAAGGGGACCAACACUGCCAAGCUCCCGAGGUUGGGGUCUGUGAAAAUGAGUAGCAAAGUUGGAAAUGUCUUAAGACAACGUGACAUUGGAGCAGAAGGCCUGAGUACAGAAGGGACAGGGCCCAGUGGGGCUCCCCAGGCAGAUGAAGCAGCCAGCUUGAAGGCCCAGAUGAUGACACCUUGAGGAGGGGGUUGGGCAAGUGGAACCACCCGGAACCACAAUAACUCUGUGGAACCACAGAGAUAAUGUGAAGGCGAGACCCUGAGGACUGUGCAGGGAGCAGACAAACCAGUUGGGAGGAAGGUGGUGGAUUCAUUCACUUUGUGGAUUACACAGCUUCUUCCUUGCCCUCCCAAGUCAAGCCCAUCGAUUGCUUUUUAACCCCUUCCUGGCUGUGUGCUGCUUCUUUUAAGUGGAGAAAGAGGAAGGGGGAAAAAAGACUGGAUUUCAGCGACUAUGAACUAAGAAGGUUCUAUGAAGAAUGAAUUGAAGCUAUUGGUAGAAAUUAGGGGGGAAAAAUCUAGCUGUAAGGACAGCACAUAAAGACCUGAACUUUUGAGUGGACCCCAGAUGAAUAUGAAUGAAGAGCACAGCUCUCUUUUGCAAAGCUGACACAGGAUGAGGAUGUUCCCGCCAGCGGGCUUCUGCUUGUCAUCCUUUCAAAUGUCAUGGUCAGACCUAGGAAAUUCCCUGGGAAGUCCCCUGCAGUUUGUCCAUUUGAGUAUGAUUCUGUUGGAUCUUGAGAGACUGUUUGAUCUUCAGGAAGCUAUUAUUAUGAAAUAGAUCUUCCUGCAGUGAGGAGACAGAGUGGUACCUGGAGAGAUGAACGGGGUGGAUCGGGAAAUGGGAAUCUGCGUCCUGACUUCAGUCCUGCCCCUACUGGCCUGGUGGCGUGAGGAAAGGCCUGUUUUCCCCUGGUCUCCACGGCUUUGUCUAUACGACGAAACGCCACAGAGAUGGCGAGAGUGAAAGCAGUGGCCAUCGUGAUUGUAAGUGCUCACGAAAUGAUUUCCUUCCUGCCUGCCUACCUCGUUUUCCAUCUGUAAAGUGAGGGAUCGAACUAGAAGAUCUCUGAGGCCCUUCCACUCUAACACUUUGUGGCUUUGUUGACAACACCUUAAAAUGUUCCUGCUAACACUCUGGUGAACCUUGGUGUAUCAGAUUCUAUAUAAUCAUAGUGUUGGCUGACAUAGUGUUGUCAUUUUGACUUUAAGUAUUAGAAUUAUUUUCCCUUCUCCUGAUUUUUAACUCAAAUUUUCUAUUUUAUGGCUUUUGCUGGGUUAAGUUGUCACAAAUCCUUCAGACAAUAAGAAAAAGAAAAGUAUAAAAAACCUGGAUGGAAAUAAUGUAUUAACUGAAAGCCAGGAAAUAAGAUGAAUACGAAUACUAACCAAUUGCUUUUACUGGGCACUUACUGUGCAUGAAGAGCCGUGCUAAGCACUUUGUAAGCAUUAGGUCACUUUAUUCUCAUUGUGACCCUGUGAAGCCAUAAUUAUCACCUUCACUUUAUAAAUGAGGAAACAGUAUUAGAGAUAUCAAGCAAGUUGUCCAGGGUCACACAAUUAGUGAGUGGCUGAGCAGAACCACAAAUCCAGGUCUGGCUAAAUCAGAGCAGUGGUGUGCCGACAAACAGACACACACACACACACACACACACGCACGCACACACAAAAAGCAAAAACAAACCCCUAAAUCUUAAUGUGCACCAUUUAUUGAUUUCCAUUCUGUGAAUACUCCCACUGCAGCCAAUUUCAAGUCAUCAACAACUUAAAAUAAGCACAAAAAAUUCCUGAAUAGUUAAUAAUAUGCUCUUGCAAGCUUGUAGAAGCCAAGCCCAAACCUCUCCAAGGACAGCCUGUGUUGAUAAGCACUGGGCAAUACUGUCUCCCUGCAUCAGAGGGUGGGGCUGAUGGAAAAGAAGGAAGAAAGGGGAGAUGGACAGAGAAAGUAAGAAGAAACAGAUUCAUUCAUUCGUUCGUCUAUUCAUGCAUUCCACAAAGCCUUACUGAACACCAGCUUAGUGCUAACCCUUGUGAUCUGUGCUUAGAACUCAGGCAUGAGUCAAAGGAACAGGGUGCCCAAGCCUAAGAAGAUCAGAGUGUGUUGGGGAGAGAGAGACAGGUAAACAAAUAUUUUCAAACAUUAUGCUAUAGAAGCAUGUAUGAGUCUGUGGGAAUCCAGGUGAGGGAGGGACCCAUUCUGCUUGAUGGGCCUGAAGGAUGGAGUUAGGCACAUGUAAUUGGAAGCUUCCAGGUAACAUAACUUUUGCUUUCUUUCCAAUUUAUGGAGUGGCUUCUCUCACUUGAAAGGUGUGCUCAGCUCAGCUGCAUUUCAGAACGAAAUAGAGAAACCAAAGAUGAGGUCAAGAAAGGGACAAUGAGGCAGAAAGUAUGCUCCUUCAGUUAGGAACGUUGUCUGAAGGACCCCUGUAUUCUUCUUCUU